CCUACGGGAGGCAGCAGUGGGGAAUAUUGGACAAUGGGCGGAACGCUGAUCCAGCGACGCCGCGUGAGUGAAGAAGUAUUUCUGGAUGUAAAGCUCUAUCUGUAGGGGAGAAAAUGACGGUACCUGACUAAGAAUCCACGUCUAACUACGUGCCAGCAGCCGCGGUAAUACGUAGGGGGCAAGCGUUAUCCGGAUUUAGUGGGUGUAAAGGGAGCGUAUGCGGUGCAGCAAGUCUGAUGUGAAAGGUCGGGGCCCAACCCCGGGACUGCAGUGGAAACUGUUGAACUGGAGUACAGGAGAGGUAAGCGGAAUUCGUAGUGUAGCGGUGAAAUGCGUAGAUAUUAGGAGGAACACCAGUGGCGAAGGCGGCUUACUGGACUGUAACUGACGUUGAGGCUCGAAAGCGUGGGGAGCAAACAGGAUUAGAUACCCCGGUAGUC
RNAcentral lists this ribosomal RNA (440 nucleotides) under uncultured bacterium. RNAcentral's name for it is "partial 16S ribosomal RNA". It matches the Rfam family "Bacterial small subunit ribosomal RNA", at positions 338 to 795 of the family's 1533-position model. The record is from RNAcentral.